This 253-nucleotide ribosomal RNA is filed under the name uncultured bacterium. RNAcentral describes it as "partial 16S ribosomal RNA". It matches the Rfam family "Bacterial small subunit ribosomal RNA", at positions 524 to 776 of the family's 1533-position model. The record is from RNAcentral.
UACGUAGGGUGCGAGCGUUGUCCGGAAUUAUUGGGCGUAAAGGGCUCGUAGGCGGUUUGUCGCGUCGGGAGUGAAAACGCCGUGCUUAACACGGCGCUUGCUUUCGAUACGGGCAGACUAGAGGUAUUCAGGGGAGAACGGAAUUCCUGGUGUAGCGGUGAAAUGCGCAGAUAUCAGGAGGAACACCGGUGGCGAAGGCGGUUCUCUGGGCCGCAACUGACGCUGAGGAGCGAAAGCAUGGGGAGCGAACAGG